GAGACAGAGGAGCAGACACACAGAGCGCUCAUCCUGACCCCCACAAUGACACCUACACAUCUCUCAACCUGAAGGCUGUAUCACCUGAAUACGACACACUGAAGCUGGUCUCUUUACAGAAUGCCCAUCCUGACCCUCACAAUGACACCUACACAGCUCUCAACCUGAAGGCUG
This is a long non-coding RNA of Megalops cyprinoides (Indo-Pacific tarpon), 174 nucleotides long. RefSeq lists it as uncharacterized. The record is from RefSeq and is a predicted model, not a curated record. NCBI's taxonomy places the organism in Eukaryota, Metazoa, Chordata, Actinopteri, Elopiformes, Megalopidae. The transcript has 3 exons.